CAGCAGCCGCGGUAAUACGUAGGUGGCAAGCGUUGUCCGGAAUUAUUGGGCGUAAAGGGCUCGCAGGCGGUUUCUUAAGUCUGAUGUGAAAGCCCCCGGCUCAACCGGGGAGGGUCAUUGGAAACUGGGAAACUUGAGUGCAGAAGAGGAGAGUGGAAUUCCACGUGUAGCGGUGAAAUGCGUAGAGAUGUGGAGGAACGCCAGUGGCGAAGGCGACUCUCUGGUCUGUAACUGACGCUGAGGAGCGAAAGCGUGGGGAGCGAACAGGAUUAGAUACCCGUGUAGUCCCUGUCUCUUAUAA
RNAcentral lists this ribosomal RNA (301 nucleotides) under uncultured bacterium. Its description in RNAcentral is "partial 16S ribosomal RNA". It matches the Rfam family "Bacterial small subunit ribosomal RNA", at positions 509 to 809 of the family's 1533-position model. The record is from RNAcentral.